CCUACGGGAGGCAGCAGUGGGGAAUUUUGGACAAUGGGGGCAACCCUGAUCCAGCCAUGCCGCGUGUGUGAAGAAGGCCUUCGGGUUGUAAAGCACUUUCGGACGGAACGAAAUCGCGCGAGUGAAUAUCCCGCGUGGAUGACGGUACCGUAAGAAGAAGCACCGGCUAACUACGUGCCAGCAGCCGCGGUAAUACGUAGGGUGCGAGCGUUAAUCGGAAUUACUGGGCGUAAAGUGUGCGCAGGCGGCGUCGCAAGUCGAGUGUGAAAGCCCCGAGCUUAACUUGGGAAUUGCGCUCGAAACUACGGCGCUGGAGUAUGGCAGAGGAAGGUGGAAUUCCACGUGUAGCGGUGAAAUGCGUAGAGAUGUGGAGGAACACCGAUGGCGAAGGCAGCCUUCUGGGCCAAUACUGACGCUCAUGCACGAAAGCGUGGGGAGCAAACAGGAUUAGAUACCCUGGUAGUCCACGCCCUAAACGAUGAUGACUAGUUGUUGGAGGAGUUAAAUCCUUUAGUAACGCAGCUAACGCGUGAAGUCAUCCGCCUGGGGAGUACGGUCGCAAGAUUAAAACUCAAAGGAAUUGACGG
This 587-nucleotide ribosomal RNA is filed under the name uncultured beta proteobacterium. RNAcentral's name for it is "bacterial SSU rRNA". It matches the Rfam family "Bacterial small subunit ribosomal RNA", at positions 338 to 916 of the family's 1533-position model. Lineage: Bacteria; Pseudomonadati; Pseudomonadota; Betaproteobacteria. The record is from RNAcentral.